GGGGAUAGCUCAGUGGUAGAGUGGUUGCCUAGCAUGCACAAGGUCCUGGGUUCAAUCCCCUGUACCUCCG
Molecule: transfer RNA, 70 nt
Filed under: Camelus ferus (Wild Bactrian camel)
Lineage: Eukaryota; Metazoa; Chordata; Mammalia; Artiodactyla; Camelidae
Rfam family: tRNA
About the family: Transfer RNA (tRNA) molecules are approximately 80 nucleotides in length. Their secondary structure includes four short double-helical elements and three loops (D, anti-codon, and T loops). Further hydrogen bonds mediate the characteristic L-shaped molecular structure. tRNAs have two regions of fundamental functional importance: the anti-codon, which is responsible for specific mRNA codon recognition, and the 3' end, to which the tRNAs corresponding amino acid is attached (by aminoacyl-tRNA synthetases). tRNAs cope with the degeneracy of the genetic code in two manners: having more than one tRNA (with a specific anti-codon) for a particular amino acid; and 'wobble' base-pairing, i.e. permitting non-standard base-pairing at the 3rd anti-codon position.
Source: Rfam by way of RNAcentral